CCACCAUCUAGGGCAUCAGUUAGUGUUACAGCACAGACUGAAGAUAUAAAAGGUGGUGCUGAAGAUGUCCGUCCUUCGCCAUCCCGAAGAUCAGCUACUGUGGAAAUACAGAAAGAAAGUUUCACACGUAGUGUGAAAACGUAUGCUGCAUCAUAUCUUGACAGAGAUUUGCGCCACCUGUCAUAUCUGGACAGAGAUAUCCCCAGCCGACUUUUGAAGGAAGGUUCUGUUGAUGUGCCAAGAUAUGGAAAGUCAUACUUUGAGGGAGAUUUCCAAAGACGACUGUCGAAG
Schistocerca americana (American grasshopper) is the source of this 291-nucleotide long non-coding RNA. RefSeq lists it as uncharacterized. Lineage: Eukaryota; Metazoa; Arthropoda; Insecta; Orthoptera; Acrididae. The transcript has 4 exons. The record is from RefSeq and is a predicted model, not a curated record.